RNAcentral lists this ribosomal RNA (465 nucleotides) under Vreelandella stevensii. Its description in RNAcentral is "partial 16S ribosomal RNA". It matches the Rfam family "Bacterial small subunit ribosomal RNA", at positions 338 to 795 of the family's 1533-position model. The record is from RNAcentral. Lineage: Bacteria; Pseudomonadati; Pseudomonadota; Gammaproteobacteria; Oceanospirillales; Halomonadaceae.
CCUACGGGGGGCUGCAGUGGGGAAUAUUGGACAAUGGGGGGAACCCUGAUCCAGCCAUGCCGCGUGUGUGAAGAAGGCCCUCGGGUUGUAAAGCACUUUCAGUGAGGAAGAACGCCUGGUGGUUAAUACCCAUCAGGAAAGACAUCACUCACAGAAGAAGCACCGGCUAACUCCGUGCCAGCAGCCGCGGUAAUACGGAGGGUGCGAGCGUUAAUCGGAAUUACUGGGCGUAAAGCGCGCGUAGGUGGCUUGAUAAGCCGGUUGUGAAAGCCCCGGGCUCAACCUGGGAACGGCAUCCGGAACUGUCAAGCUAGAGUGCAGGAGAGGAAGGUAGAAUUCCCGGUGUAGCGGUGAAAUGCGUAGAGAUCGGGAGGAAUACCAGUGGCGAAGGCGGCCUUCUGGACUGACACUGACACUGAGGUGCGAAAGCGUGGGUAGCGAACAGGAUUAGAUACCCCGGUAGUC